Molecule: long non-coding RNA, 721 nt
Organism: Bombina bombina (fire-bellied toad)
Lineage: Eukaryota; Metazoa; Chordata; Amphibia; Anura; Bombinatoridae
Exons: 7
Source: RefSeq, a predicted model, not a curated record
CAUAAAGCCAUGAGGUUGCUUCCGGAAGGCUGAAAUUGCGCCAAAAAACUUGAGAUGUUUGUGCUGUUUAUAGCAGCUGGCUUGUUUGGAAUAUCUGUCCAGCUCAAAAAUGGCUCCAGCGGUUAGAAACAGGUGAUGGCAGAAUGGCUUUAUGGAAACUUCAAGCAUAUGACAGCUUAAUUUUCUUCCACAAGGCUGUGAGACCAGUUUGCAGGUGAUGCUAAAGUUUUCAGAUCUACAGCACCAGGUGACAUACAGCCAACACUUAGUGUCUAGCUUAUUGUCAAAGAAAUGUCUGUGCCUCCUUUGUUAAACCAGUGUCUUUUUGUGGCCUAAUCAAUCAACAGUAUUCCUCCAGCACUCCAAGAAAGGACCCAGCAGACUCCGAUCUAGCAAUGUGAAGCGAGAUGCCAUAAUAUACAGAGGUCUUCACCUCAACUGUGUCUGCUGACAUCCAGGCUGCAAGUUGAUUUUGUUUUAUAUACAGAUCUUCAAGCACUGGACAAAAUGUCUACAUGAAACAUUUCUCCGUUGCAUCAGCCCAGUUUUAACAGCUGGAGUACGUGUGUUUUGUGCAACUCUGCUGCUCUCACAACUCGUGUACCCAUGGAAAGGGAUUGUCCUUGGCGUUCCUGUUUGAACUAUAAACCUGGCUAUUUAAUAAAAUGCUAAUAAAGUGUUUCUGAUAUCUGUUCUAUUAAUAAAGCUUUGACUUACCUUA